UUUAUAUAAGCAAUGAGUACCAGAAUGCUCGUCGGUGCUAAAAUUGGUCUUAGUUUAUAGACAAUUCUGUUAUUUCAAAUAACUAUAAUCAAGAGCAUUUCAUUACAGUGAAACCCAAGGGCUGUAGCACAAAUCUGAUGUGACUUCUUCAUACUUACUUAAGAGUGGUCUAAAAGCAAGGAAUGCCCUGCAGUCCUCAAAAUUCUGGAUAAGUGAUGCAAUGUUUAUAUUUAGUGUGACUCAAAAUAUUGACGCCUUGCCAUGAAUAUGAGAUUUUUAAACUGCAGAAGAGAAGAAAAGUCCACGUAGAUAGAGCCAAGAAGAAGAGUUCAGGACAGCAUUACUGGAUUUCCCCAUCUGAAACCAAUGCCAUCCAUCUACAUACUGGCAAGUGUCUAGAGAGGCAGAGCCCAAGGAGUCAGCUUGCAGGUUAAAUGGGAAUUGAAUACCCAAGUUACCUGGAUCU
This 466-nucleotide long non-coding RNA is filed under the name Felis catus (domestic cat). RNAcentral's name for it is "lncRNA (ENSFCAG00000053034.1)". The record is from RNAcentral. Lineage: Eukaryota; Metazoa; Chordata; Mammalia; Carnivora; Felidae.